Long non-coding RNA from Piliocolobus tephrosceles (Ugandan red Colobus), 4379 nucleotides. The record is from Ensembl. Lineage: Eukaryota; Metazoa; Chordata; Mammalia; Primates; Cercopithecidae.
CCAAAAAAACAGAAAUAGCUAUUCAUAUAUUUUAAUUAAUACGUCAAGUAGUGGUCAUGGUUUAGAAUCAAGGGAGCAAAAUAAUAAUAAUCAUAAAAAUAAAACAAUUUUACCAACUACUUUUCUUUGGAACAAAAAAAAAGAAAAGCUUUUUAAUCAUAAUUUUGAACACAUUCUAAUACAAACUAAAUCAUUUUCGUUUUCUUUAAAAAUGUUACAAAAUAAAAAAGAUUAUAAAAAAAUUAAGGCCAUUGAAAAAUUAAUAAUAGAAAAUAUAAUUGACAAGAAUCAAACUCGUGAAUUAACUUUUUUAAAUGCUUCUUUCUAUAUCAACUUUUUGAAUAAUGUUUAUUCAAAACAAGACACCAAAAACUGUGCAAAUAGUAACAAUGCUAAUGAUAGUUUAUGGAGUGAAGGUUUACGGAGUGAAGGUUUACGGAGUGAAGGUUUACGGAGUGAAGGUUUACGGAGUGAAAGCUUAUGGAGUGACAGCUUAUGGAACAAAAGUAAUAAAACAUUAUUUUAUUAUCAAUUUAUCAAUUUCAAUAUAAAUUUGAAAUAUAUAUAUAACGCUUUCAUUUAUUUAUUACAUUUUUAUAUACAUAUGAAAUGCAGUCUUGUUAAUACACAUAGUGUACAGCCAUGUUUAAAAAAAAGUGAAUCGCAUAGGACUAAUAGCACAACUAAUAUAGACGAGCAAAACAAAACUGACACUUUUUUUAAUACUAACAUAAAUGAAAACAUAAAUGAAAACAUAAAUGAAAACAUAAAUAACCAAAUAAAAAAUGUGAUAAACCAUGUAUACAUAUAUUUAGAAAAUAUAGACAACAGUUUGCUUAUACAUGAGGAAAAAAUUGAAGUGUUAAGUUUGUUAAAGGAAAGAUGGUGUAUGAUAGAAUAUGUACAAAAAAGUGCAAGGGGAUACAAUAAUAGUGGUAAUGCUUAUGACUUAAGUAGUAGUAGCGACAGUAAAAUUAAUGGAAACUAUUAUACUCAUGCAAUUUUUACCAUAAUAGAAGAAAUAAUACAUAUCGUAUACUCUUAUUUAAUGAAUGUAUACAUGAUUCGAGAUACGAACUACGAAUAUUUAAAAAAAGGUACGCAUGUACAGAACAAAUUUGGCUUAAUUAAUAAUAAAAUAGAUAAUGGCUGCGAUGGUUUCACUAGUGACAUAAAAACACACGAAAUAUCUUUCAACAAACCAAUCAAGCACAUGAAUAAUGUCAUUCUAACCGAUUUUGGUCCAAACAAAGUCGAUAAAAUAAAAAAAGAAACCACUUUUGAAGAAAUAAAUAAUUUUAUUACAUACGAAGAAUAUUCUAUAUUUAAAAAUAUAUACCUAAAUGAUACCUACAAAGAUGGUACACCGUUUAAGCAGUAUUCUUAUAUUAGCUCAUCUUUGUUUAAUCAAACAAUUUUUUUUGAUUCGGUUAUAAAUAUAUACAAAGAAAUAAAAAAAAAUAAAAUAACUUUAUUUUACCUGAACACGUACAACAUAUUAUUUACAAAUUUAAAAAAUAAUUUUUAUAAUUAUAUAAUUAAAACUCCUUUUUGUGAUAAUUUUAGUUCGCUAAACACGUUUGGAGCUGAACCAUUAAACGCCUUAACCCCAGAAUUGUUAAAUUUAAAUUACAGAAGCCAACACUCUUUAUGUUUUUAUUUUAUUUUUUAUAUCUUUACUAUAUUUACUAACAUAAUGAGCAGUAACGUUAUAAAGGCGAAGGGUAUUUAUGAUGAAAAUACAUGUUAUUCCAUAUUUCGAGAAAUAUAUAAUAUUAUUAAUUUUAAAAAGAAAGCAGCAAAAGAUAUAUUAGUAUGCUUAUUAGAUUUUUAUACGCAUUUACUUAUGCUAAAAAAUGAAAUACCAUUUGUUCAAAAAAUAGAAAAAUAUUUGUUUGUUUGGUUGUUUCUUCUUCUUAAACUCGUGAUAAACAAUUUGGAAGGAAGAAGAAGAGAUGUUAGUAGUACCCCACAGUUGACGCCGUUAUCCAAACUGAUUAAAUUUGCUACAAAUGAUGGAGUUAUGAACAAUACCAGCAACAUAGUUAAUGUACAUGACUACAACGAUUUUGAAACAGAUAAAUGUGCUUAUGUAAUGAAUAGUCCUAAUGUCCAAAAAAAUGGAGCAUUUAGCAAUAUAAAACAAAAUGAUACUAUUUUAUUUAUUCAUGAUACACCAACUGGAUAUACCAACAACAGCGACAGUAACAACAGCAUGAACAUAAAUAAGGAGGACGUACUAAAAAUGUAUAAAAUUUUAUACGUAAAUAAAAACAACAAUUUCGCUGAGACGUUGAGUUACAUUUGUUAUUAUAUAAAAAAAUAUAUUGCAUAUAUAUGCCCAACUGAUUUGAACAAAAUGUUGAACUGCCUAUUCAUUGAAUAUAAUACUAUCACAGAGUUAAGUGAAAAACUAGAAAACGACACUUUUAUUUAUAUAAUAGGAUCUAUAUAUAUAUCUCAUUACUUGUUAAACAUUAUUUGUUCAAAAAUAAGAAAAGAAGUAAAAACCAUUUUUAAAAAAAUUGCAUUAAAAAAAUAUUUGAAUAAUCAAAAAGUUUUAACAGAAGAAGAAAUUUACAUGAGUAGUCAACACCAUAUGUACAUCGAAAAAAUUAACCCUUUUGAAAAAAUAACAUAUAAUGAUUUUUUGAAUUUAAAAAAAAAUGAAUUUUACAAAGAAAAUAUAAGAGAUAUAAAAAAAGAUCUUCCAUUAAUACCCAAAGUACUUUAUCACAUGAAUAAAAAAAAAAAAAAAAAGCUGUUACAAAUGUUAAAAAAGAGUAAUAAAAAUAACGUAUGUACAUAUUUUAUUGAAAAAUAUAUUCAUAAAAAUGAGUCAGAAGAUAUAGAAACGUUAUAUAUAAAAUUAAAAAUCGAUUUCAAGAAAUUUAUAAAAAAUAUACUACCAUUAUGUAAAGUAGAAACUAUUUUAAAACAUAUAACUAGUACAAAUAAUUUGAUAAAUUGUUCAAUUAUUUAUUUAUGUAUGAAUUUUAUUUAUCAUGUAAAAAUGAACUACAAUUUGGUGUUAAAAUUUGCACAUGCAAUUAGCUAUUCUUUGUGCGUUUUUGUACAUGCAAUACACAGUGCAAAUUUGUUUUUAUUGCAAAGGGAUGAUAUGUUUUCAAAUAUCAAAUGUUCAUUUAAGUCUGAUAAUAAUGAGUUAAUAACUGUAUCUACGCAUGCAUCGGACACAUUGAUAUCUAACCAUAACAUGUUGUUUAAAAAAAAAAAAGAAAAAAAUUUAUACAAUUAUGCUAAAUUCCCCAUAAAUUUUAAUAAAAUUAUAAAUUUACAAAUAGAAAAGUAUGAACAAAAAAUAAAUGAAUUAGAAUAUUUAAAUUAUAUGGUACAAUUAUUACAACAACCAAAAAACAUAUUUAAUGGCUUAGAUUUUACAAUUUUGUUAAACUGUUUAAAAUUGCUAUGUAGACAAAUUGUUAUUAAUAAUGAGCAAAAUGAUCAGACAAAUAUGAAUGAAUUAUUUAAAUUAGAGCAAUUCAAAAAUAUUAUAAUCCAACAAAAAUGUGAUACUAUUAUGAACGAGUCAGAAGAAAAUACGAUAAAAAAUAUAGAAAAGGAAUAUGAUACUUUUUUUAAUUCGGAAGACCAAUUUGGAGCUUAUAAGUCGGUGUUAUAUGACAAUAUGGAUACAGAAAAGGGUAAUAAUGAUAGAGAAGGAGAAGAAGAAAAUGAUGCACACAGUGAUAUCGCAUGUUCUGUUGUUUCGCAAGAGGUAAUUAGUAAAAAAGGAAAUGACACGAAUGAAUAUGCUAGAAUAAGCGGCGAGGAUAACAUACAUAACGGAAUGAAAAUGUCAAGUAAUACACAAACCAUAUUAGACAAUGGAAAACGCAAGUUAGACGAAACUAUGUUUAAUAAAAUUAUUUAUAAAAUUGUUAAAUUAUUUAAAAAAAGAACAGAACCUAGUAACAACAAUAUAAAAGAUAACAAAAAGGGGGAGGCGAAUGCGAAAACGAAGGCGAAAGAGUACAUAUGCAAGAACAAAACAGAAAUAUAUAAAAUAAGAAAAAAUAUAAAUGACACACUAGAUAUGUUAAUAAAACUAAGUAGCUCAAGUAAUAAGGAAAAUAAGUACGACAUAUGUCAUGAUGGUAAUAAUGAUAACUUAUUAUCAGUAUGUAAUAACAUGAAAAAUACACAUCGAUUUAAUUUUUUUGAUACAAAAAAAAAAGAAGAAAAACAAUUUUUAAUUUUUACUUUAAACACAUUAAACAAAUUAAACUAUUUUUCACAUUGUAAUGGUUACAAUUUCGAAUAUUUUAAAAAUAAAAUUUUAGAAUGUAUACUAAAUAAUAAAAAAAAAAAUCACGCAUAUAUAAAUAAAUACAUAAACCUAUUAGAAUAUAAUUUUG